UCGAAAUCCGCUAAGGAG
RNAcentral lists this small nuclear RNA (18 nucleotides) under Arabidopsis thaliana (thale cress). Its description in RNAcentral is "snRNA_18657". The record is from RNAcentral. Lineage: Eukaryota; Viridiplantae; Streptophyta; Magnoliopsida; Brassicales; Brassicaceae.